This 373-nucleotide long non-coding RNA is filed under the name Brassica napus (rape). RNAcentral describes it as "long non-coding RNA (BNAP_LNC005164)". The record is from RNAcentral. Lineage: Eukaryota; Viridiplantae; Streptophyta; Magnoliopsida; Brassicales; Brassicaceae.
CCCAUUAUCCGAGCUAAAUGUUGGGUCGUAAUUGUUAGAUAAAUUAAGUCUAUGAAAAUUGUUUUUGGUAGAUUUUUCUAAUGCUUCCAUUUCAUCUGACGGAUUCCCGAUGAAAUACAAUCCAUCAAAACUUGUAUGGAAUUCCCGACUAAUUCUCGUCGAAUGUCCAUCCGGUGGAAAUUUCCCCACAAAUUACCGACCAAAUUAUAUACUUAUUAAGUAGUUGUUAUAUACAACACAAAAGUUCGCAAUGAAUUUUCAACGGAAUAUAUAACCGUUAUAUAGUUGUUUUAAAAAGUCAAAAUUUUUGGCAAUCUCCCUUCAGUUGUGACCAAGCCAAAUCUUCCAUAUGUCGUUUCAUGAAGUUCAUCAG